UGCAUAGAUCAACUAUUAUUGUUUUAAUCUUUGAAAAACAAAUUACAUAUCAGCCUUUUACGUCCAAAACAAAUCACAUGUUAACCUUCAACCACGCAUACAAACGAACGAAAGUAACAAAAUUAAUAUUGAAUAACCAAAGAGUGAUCUCUCGGUUCAAAGAACUCCUUAGAAAAAUUACUAAUAUUACCGAGUUAGACUUCACAUUGUUGCUACGCAAAUAGAAGAGAGGAGAGCGCCACACAAAAUUAGAGAGAAGAAC
Molecule: long non-coding RNA, 262 nt
Filed under: Elaeis guineensis (African oil palm)
Lineage: Eukaryota; Viridiplantae; Streptophyta; Magnoliopsida; Arecales; Arecaceae
Description: long non-coding RNA (EGUI_LNC002767)
Source: RNAcentral